GGUGCUGCUGGAGGACGGCAGCUACGGACGGGCCGCCGUCCCGUCCGGCGCGUCGACCGGUGAGUUCGAGGCCGUCGAGCGCCGC
RNAcentral lists this transfer RNA (85 nucleotides) under Kocuria dechangensis. RNAcentral describes it as "tRNA-Gly". The record is from RNAcentral. Lineage: Bacteria; Bacillati; Actinomycetota; Actinomycetes; Micrococcales; Micrococcaceae.